AAGUCGUAACAAGGUAGCCGUAGGGGAACCUGCGGCUGGAUCACCUCCUUAUCAAGAAUUCUCCAACUCGCUAUUUACUUGCAAGGUUUCUUACCUUGUCGGUUUAGAAAUGGGCUUGUAGCUCAGGUGGUUAGAGCGCACGCCUGAUAAGCGUGAGGUCGGAAGUUCAAGUCUUCCCAGGCCCACCAUUUCUUAGUGGGGGUGUAGCUCAGCUGGGAGAGCGCCUGCCUUGCACGCAGGAGGUCAUCAGUUCGAUCCUGUUCACCUCCACCAUUUUCCAACUCGACAAGAAUUUAUGUUGCUAGUCUUUAUCGUCAGAGUGUCUUUUGACACUAUGGCGCCCAAGCAUAGCAGCUUGUGAUCAUUGACAGACGAAUAGGUGAAGAGAAGAGAGUUAAGAUGUUAAGGGCAUACGGUGGAUGCCUUGGCGUCAGGAGGCGAUGAAGGACGUGGAAGGCUGCGAUAAGCCUCGGGGAGCCGUCAAGCAGGCUUUGAUCCGGGGAUUUCCGAAUGGGGCAACCCA
This 523-nucleotide unclassified non-coding RNA is filed under the name Desulfomicrobium norvegicum. RNAcentral's name for it is "partial contains 16S ribosomal RNA, 16S-23S ribosomal RNA intergenic spacer, and 23S ribosomal RNA". The stretch from base 393 to 523 matches the Rfam family "Bacterial large subunit ribosomal RNA", at positions 1 to 130 of the family's 2925-position model. Lineage: Bacteria; Pseudomonadati; Thermodesulfobacteriota; Desulfovibrionia; Desulfovibrionales; Desulfomicrobiaceae. The record is from RNAcentral.